Molecule: long non-coding RNA, 1036 nt
Filed under: Homo sapiens (human)
Lineage: Eukaryota; Metazoa; Chordata; Mammalia; Primates; Hominidae
Description: HSALNT0032793
Source: RNAcentral
UGGUUUCUGUUUUUUCUGCGAAAUAAGAGCUUGACCAUCUACUGAGGGGAGAGUAGUGGUAUUGUAGGUUUGAAGAAAAUGAUGAUAAUUGGAAAUAGCUGCUGUGGAGAAAGGGCACAAUCUUGCCGGGGAAAUAGAGGAGGUUUUCUAGGCAAUGUUGAGAGCGGAGUGAGGCUGGGGUCAGUGAAUUCACAGUAACAUAAAUCUGUGGUGUGAUCUGGUUUUAUCUGCGGAUCUCAGCAGCCUGGACGUGAGUGAGGUGUACGUGUCACAUUUGGAGCCAUGGCAACCAUCCUGUGACCUGGAGGACAGAAGUCUAAAGGCCCCUCACUUCCAGCACUCCUCGCACCUUCCUCUGUUGUCCAUACAAGAAACUGGCUUCAGGACUUUCUGGCCAAGUGUGUGUGUUUGCACAGAAUGCUGAAUCCAACUCCCAGGUGCCCAGAGAAGUCAGGACUGGGCUGCUCCUUGCAGACUUUUUGUGAGAGGCUCCAAGCUGCCCUUCCUGGCUAGCAGGCUCUUCUGGAGAAAGGAUGUUUACCUUUCACAGGUGAGGGCAGAACUCAUUGCCACCUUUUGUUGUAAGUUUCUAAAGACACAUGCUGCAUGAAUGUCUUAAUGUCCUGCCCUAAGAAAAGUUUUCCAUGCGGACAGGUACCCACCUGUGCUUUUGUGGAAGAGGAUAUAUAUUUUUUAAUUGAGAUAUAAUUCACAUACCAUAAAACCAUCUUUUAAAAAUGUACGAAUCAGAGGGGUUUUUAAAAGUAUAUCCAUGGAGUUCUGUAACUAUCACCAUGAAUUCCAGAACAUUUUCAUUACCCCAUAAAGAAACCCCACACCCUUUAGCCAUUACUCCCUAAUUCCUGAUCCCACAGCACUAGCCCCCAGCAAACAACCUUCUGUCUCUGUGGACCUGCCUAUUCUGGACGUUUCAUAUAAAUGGAGUCAUGCAACAUGGGAACAUUUGUUUCCGGCUUCUUUCACUUAGCAUAAUGUUUUCAAGAUUCAUCCGUAUUCUAGCUUGUGUUAUUCUUUU